AAACAGAUGGACCAAAUCAUUUCUUCGGAAAGUAAUUCAAGCAAUGCCAGUGUUCGUCUUGUUAGGAAUAUUGGGUUCCAUUUUUGUCACAUUUUCUGUCCUCUACAGCUUUGAAAGCACUAGCACUAUCCUCAAGAUUCGCUUAGUUGUGGUCGUCGGUUGUACUAUCCUCUCUGUCUACAUGUUUGUAGAAGGAUCACAAAGACUAUGUGAUGAGAGUAGUCAAAUGUUUGAGAUGUUGGCAUAUUCUCCUUGGUAUUUAUACAAUAAGAAUAACAGAAGAAUUUUGUUGACUUUUAUGACAAAUACAUUGGAGCCAAUUACAAUUACUUGGGGAGGAAUUAUUCUGAAUUAUAAUUUUGGUCUAACCGUACGUUUGCAAACGAUCGACUUGUAAAGUGCUAUUUUUUUCACUAUUUCUUUUAGAUGUUAAG
Molecule: RNA transcript, 434 nt
Organism: Tribolium castaneum (red flour beetle)
Lineage: Eukaryota; Metazoa; Arthropoda; Insecta; Coleoptera; Tenebrionidae
Exons: 3
Source: RefSeq, a predicted model, not a curated record